GACAUUCACUGCAGCAUGACGAUGACGAUAGGAAAUCGGUCUCAGAAAGUGUGAGGUAGUUGUGUAACAGAAUAUCACAUGGAAAUGAACUGAUACUUACUGACAUUUAUUCACAUGGAAAGAUAUCCAUCCCAUAUUGUGGAAUGAGAGCUGCCUGGGGAGCGUGGUGUCACCCUGUAAGUUCAUACUCCCAGAAAAAGACGGGGCGGUGAAUGUAAAAUAUCAAUGAUAGCUCUUUCCGGCUGUGGAAAGCCAGCAUCACAGUCACAGGAGCCGUCACCUGAGGGUCCUUGGCUGCAUCUCCCGUGGACACAAGAACACACUAAGGGGAGAUCGAAGUGGGAUACAGGGCAGAAGAAAACUGUUAAACGUCCUCACUACCGCAGCCCACCGCCAAGUCCUUCAAACAGGCAAACGGACCUCCCUCCAGAGGCUCAGCCGCCCAGAGGCUGAUCCCUUGCUGAGGGCAAAGGUGAUCUCAGCCCAAGCCCCAGGACCUGGAACCUGUUCCCAAGCAUGUGUCCUCCCCGGAGGAAGUCCGGGUCAGAGAAUGCAAACAGCUGAUGAUUUUUGCGAAAUCAGCUUAAAGCCUGUGGCCUGCUGACGGUGAAUUAAUGAUCUGCCGGCAAGGGACAGCACAACUCAAAGGCAAGGCUCUGGGGCCCAGCAAGACAUGCAUUCAAAUAUCAGGCCUCCCCCGGGUGCAACCUCGGGGGAAGCCCUGCAGCCCGGCCUUCACACACAGGCCCACCUGUGAGAGAGGCGCACGUAAGAACUUUCCCCAAACCGUGGAUCACUCCCUUGUCAGUGGCUGCGUUGGUGUAAUUUAUUGGAGCCUCGUUUACAUACAGCUGUGAACAAGAAGAUCGAAUGAAGAGGCUGCUCUAGAUCACCUGUAAGGUCUCUUUCCACCCUCAUGUUAGUUGAUUUGUGACUGAAGAAUCCUGACUCACGACGGUCACAUGAGUCUCACUGGCGAAAAGGCUGUGUGGGCAAGCUCAGCUGUGCCCGGGCGGUGGCCCUGGCGGUCUGAGCACCUGCCCAAACCAGGCACGGAGAACGACCCGCGCUGGCCUCUCAGCACCCUUCUCCGGUAACUUGAGAGACCACUGGGAUGAUUGAGUGAUGCAAAACAAGCAAAUCCAUCCAUUCAUUCAUCAGUAUAAAUAAUAUAAUUGGGAACAAAUUGUUCUUUAAAGAAAUUGGAGGGAUCCCUGGGUGGCGCAGCGGUUUGGCGCCUGCCUUUGGCCCAGGGCGCGAUCCUGGAGACCCGGGAUCGAAUCCCACGUCGGGCUCCCGGUGCAUGGAGCCUGCUUCUCC
This is a long non-coding RNA of Canis lupus familiaris (dog), 1320 nucleotides long. RefSeq lists it as uncharacterized. The transcript has 6 exons. The record is from RefSeq and is a predicted model, not a curated record. Lineage: Eukaryota; Metazoa; Chordata; Mammalia; Carnivora; Canidae.